Molecule: ribosomal RNA, 627 nt
Filed under: bacterium 4746K6-B13
Lineage: Bacteria
Description: bacterial SSU rRNA
Rfam family: Bacterial small subunit ribosomal RNA
Source: RNAcentral
CCUAAACAUGCAAGUCGAGCGGUAACAGAAAGUAGCUUGCUACUUUGCUGACGAGCGGCGGACGGGUGAGUAAUGCUUGGGAACAUGCCUUGAGGUGGGGGACAACAGUUGGAAACGACUGCUAAUACCGCAUAAUGUCUACGGACCAAAGGGGGCUUCGGCUCUCGCCUUUAGAUUGGCCCAAGUGGGAUUAGCUAGUUGGUGAGGUAAUGGCUCACCAAGGCGACGAUCCCUAGCUGGUUUGAGAGGAUGAUCAGCCACACUGGGACUGAGACACGGCCCAGACUCCUACGGGAGGCAGCAGUGGGGAAUAUUGCACAAUGGGCGCAAGCCUGAUGCAGCCAUGCCGCGUGUGUGAAGAAGGCCUUCGGGUUGUAAAGCACUUUCAGUCAGGAGGAAAGGUUAGUAGUUAAUACCUGCUAGCUGUGACGUUACUGACAGAAGAAGCACCGGCUAACUCCGUGCCAGCAGCCGCGGUAAUACGGAGGGUGCGAGCGUUAAUCGGAAUUACUGGGCGUAAAGCGUACGCAGGCGGUUUGUUAAGCGAGAUGUGAAAGCCCCGGGCUCAACCUGGGAACUGCAUUUCGAACUGGCAAACUAGAGUGUGAUAGAGGGUGGUAGAAUUUC